UUAAAUUGAAGAGUUUGAUCAUGGCUCAGAUUGAACGCUGGCGGCAGGCCUAACACAUGCAAGUCGAACGGUAACAGGAAGCAGCUUGCUGCUUUGCUGACGAGUGGCGGACGGGUGAGUAAUGUCUGGGAAACUGCCYGAUGGAGGGGGAUAACUACUGGAAACGGUAGCUAAUACCGCAUAACGUCGCAAGACCAAAGAGGGGGACCUUAGGGCCUCUUGCCAUCGGAUGUGCCCAGAUGGGAUUAGCUAGUAGGUGGGGUAACGGCUCACCUAGGCGACGAUCCCUAGCUGGUCUGAGAGGAUGACCAGCCACACUGGAACUGAGACACGGUCCAGACUCCUACGGGAGGCAGCAGUGGGGAAUAUUGCACAAUGGGCGCAAGCCUGAUGCAGCCAUGCCGCGUGUAUGAAGAAGGCCUUCGGGUUGUAAAGUACUUUCAGCGGGGAGGAAGGGAGUAAAGUUAAUACCUUUGCUCAUUGACGUUACCCGCAGAAGAAGCACCGGCUAACUCCGUGCCAGCAGCCGCGGUAAUACGGAGGGUGCAAGCGUUAAUCGGAAUUACUGGGCGUAAAGCGCACGCAGGCGGUUUGUUAAGUCAGAUGUGAAAUCCCCGGGCUCAACCUGGGAACUGCAUCUGAUACUGGCAAGCUUGAGUCUCGUAGAGGGGGGUAGAAUUCCAGGUGUAGCGGUGAAAUGCGUAGAGAUCUGGAGGAAUACCGGUGGCGAAGGCGGCCCCCUGGACGAAGACUGACGCUCAGGUGCGAAAGCGUGGGGAGCAAACAGGAUUAGAUACCCUGGUAGUCCACGCCGUAAACGAUGUCGACUUGGAGGUUGUGCCCUUGAGGCGUGGCUUCCGGAGCUAACGCGUUAAGUCGACCGCCUGGGGAGUACGGCCGCAAGGUUAAAACUCAAAUGAAUUGACGGGGGCCCGCACAAGCGGUGGAGCAUGUGGUUUAAUUCGAUGCAACGCGAAGAACCUUACCUGGUCUUGACAUCCACGGAAGUUUUCAGAGAUGAGAAUGUGCCUUCGGGAACCGUGAGACAGGUGCUGCAUGGCUGUCGUCAGCUCGUGUUGUGAAAUGUUGGGUUAAGUCCCGCAACGAGCGCAACCCUUAUCCUUUGUUGCCAGCGGUCCGGCCGGGAACUCAAAGGAGACUGCCAGUGAUAAACUGGAGGAAGGUGGGGAUGACGUCAAGUCAUCAUGGCCCUUACGACCAGGGCUACACACGUGCUACAAUGGCGCAUACAAAGAGAAGCGACCUCGCGAGAGCAAGCGGACCUCAUAAAGUGCGUCGUAGUCCGGAUUGGAGUCUGCAACUCGACUCCAUGAAGUCGGAAUCGCUAGUAAUCGUGGAUCAGAAUGCCACGGUGAAUACGUUCCCGGGCCUUGUACACACCGCCCGUCACACCAUGGGAGUGGGUUGCAAAAGAAGUAGGUAGCUUAACCUUCGGGAGGGCGCUUACCACUUUGUGAUUCAUGACUGGGGUGAAGUCGUAACAAGGUAACCGUAGGGGAACCUGCGGUUGGAUCACCUCCUUACCUUAAAGAAGC
This 1556-nucleotide ribosomal RNA is filed under the name Escherichia coli. RNAcentral's name for it is "bacterial SSU rRNA". It matches the Rfam family "Bacterial small subunit ribosomal RNA". Lineage: Bacteria; Pseudomonadati; Pseudomonadota; Gammaproteobacteria; Enterobacterales; Enterobacteriaceae. The record is from RNAcentral.